GACGAACGCUGGCGGCGUGCUUAACACAUGCAAGUCGAACGCUGAAGCUCAGCUUUUGUUGGGUGGAUGAGUGGCGAACGGGUGAGUAACACGUGAGUAACCUGCCCCCUUCUUUGGGAUAACGCCCGGAAACGGGUGCUAAUACUGGAUAUUCACUGGUCUUCGCAUGGGGGUUGGUGGAAAGGGUUUUUUGGGUGGGGGUUGGGCUGGCGGCCUAUCAGCUUGUUGGUGGGGUGAUGGCCUACCAAGGCUUUGACGGGUAGCCGGCCUGAGAGGGUGACCGGUCACAUUGGGACUGAGAUACGGCCCAGACUCCUACGGGAGGCAGCAGUGGGGAAUAUUGCACAAUGGGCGCAAGCCUGAUGCAGCGACGCCGCGUGAGGGAUGGAGGCCUUCGGGUUGUGAACCUCUUUCGCUCAUGGUCAAGCCGCAACAAUGGUUGUGGUGAGGGUAGUGGGUAAAGAAGCGCCGGCUAACUACGUG
This 483-nucleotide ribosomal RNA is filed under the name uncultured bacterium. RNAcentral describes it as "partial 16S ribosomal RNA". It matches the Rfam family "Bacterial small subunit ribosomal RNA", at positions 28 to 507 of the family's 1533-position model. The record is from RNAcentral.